GAAAAGCACAAACAAAUGAAGAAGGAUCCACCACAGGCAGGAGAGACCCCUGGACAAAACUGGGAUCUUGAAGGCUGUUCUUCUCGUGAUACUGAGGAAGACUUUGGAGGAAUGGGCCAAAGGACUGUACUAUGACAAUGUCCAACCUGAGCUUAACCCUGCCUCACUGCUGAUGAUACUCUAGAUGUUUGUAAUUCUUUGAGCUUGUCAAUGUUCUCUGCU
This 222-nucleotide long non-coding RNA is filed under the name Mus spicilegus (steppe mouse). RNAcentral's name for it is "lncRNA (ENSMSIG00000020255.1)". The record is from RNAcentral. Lineage: Eukaryota; Metazoa; Chordata; Mammalia; Rodentia; Muridae.